This is a ribosomal RNA of Microsporidia sp., 119 nucleotides long. The record is from Rfam. NCBI's taxonomy places the organism in Eukaryota, Fungi, Microsporidia.
AUCUACGGCCAUACACACUGGAAAACACCGGGUCUCGUCCGAUCCCCGAAGUCAAGCCAGUGCUGGCGCAGUCAGUACUAUGAUGGGUGACCGCAUGGGAAUACUGCGUGCUGUAGGUU